AUGAUUACAAAUUAUCAUUCCACCACAUCUUGGAAAAUUACACAAGAGAAAAGAUUACAUCAAAAUAAGGCUUGUGCUUGCCAAAUCUUCAAAGUACCAAUACAAACCCAUGUUUCAAGCUUCAUGUUGUCACCAUUGUCAUUUAAGCUCUAUACCAUUACUCAGGCCAUCCAAAUUCCAUGA
Vicia faba (fava bean) is the source of this 183-nucleotide non-coding RNA. NCBI's taxonomy places the organism in Eukaryota, Viridiplantae, Streptophyta, Magnoliopsida, Fabales, Fabaceae. The record is from the annotation of a GenBank genome assembly.